This 449-nucleotide ribosomal RNA is filed under the name uncultured bacterium. Its description in RNAcentral is "bacterial SSU rRNA". It matches the Rfam family "Bacterial small subunit ribosomal RNA", at positions 354 to 796 of the family's 1533-position model. The record is from RNAcentral.
GUUUCGAAUUAUUCACAAUGGGCGAAAGCCUGAUGGUGCGACGCCGCGUGAGGGAUGAAGGUCUUCGGAUUGUAAACCUCUGUCACUGGGGAAGAACCGUCGUGUGUAAACAGCGCACGGCCUGACUUAACCCGGAGAGGAAGCAGUGGCUAACUCUGUGCCAGCAGCCGCGGUAAUACAGAGACUGCGAGCGUUAUUCGGAUUCACUGGGCGUAAAGGGUGCGUAGGCGGCCGCAUGUGUCAGGUGUGAAAGCCUGGGGCUUAACCCCAGAACUGCGCCUGAAACUGUGCGGCUAGAGUGCCGGAGAGGAUAGCGGAAUUCACGGUGUAGCAGUGAAAUGCGUAGAUAUCGUGAAGAACACCAGCGGCGAAGGCGGCUAUCUGGAAGGCAACUGACGCUCAAGCACGAAAGCGUGGGGAGCAAAAGGGAUUAGAUACCCUUGUAGUCC